AGCUGGUGGAGCAGAAGCAAGACCAUUUGUUACCUACCAUAAUUCGCUAGGAAGGGAUCUUUAUUUGAGGAUAGCAACAGAGCUCCACUUGAAGAGGAUGCUGGUUAGAGGGUUUGAAAAAGUUUAUGAGAUUGGUCGAAUAUUCAGAAAUGAAGGGAUUUCAAAUCGUCACAAUCCAGAAUUUAAAGCAAUGAAAUGGAGCAUAAGAUUAAGGCCUGGAAGAUUUUUCACAGUUCCUGAGGAACUGAGAGCACCGUAUGAGUCCCAAAAUGGUGAUACAGUUAUGGAGGCAAUUGUAAA
Humulus lupulus (European hop) is the source of this 300-nucleotide long non-coding RNA. RefSeq lists it as uncharacterized. The transcript is spliced from 3 exons. The record is from RefSeq and is a predicted model, not a curated record. Lineage: Eukaryota; Viridiplantae; Streptophyta; Magnoliopsida; Rosales; Cannabaceae.